GAUAAGCCUGGGCUCGCUUGAAAUGGAGUAGCGAGUUUGUAUGAAUGCAAACCUUGCCGUUCAUCGUUAUGGUUUCCUUCGAUGAGUAAGCGGUUGGUGGAACGUUUAUAAUAUUAGACUUGCUUCCAAUCGCGUUGUAAGGACGCAACUUUUUUAUUUCAUCUGGCCUCAAAUCAGGUAGGACUACCCGCUGAACUUAA
RNAcentral lists this unclassified non-coding RNA (200 nucleotides) under soil metagenome. RNAcentral describes it as "partial contains internal transcribed spacer 2 and large subunit ribosomal RNA". The record is from RNAcentral.